Molecule: long non-coding RNA, 353 nt
Organism: Rhagoletis pomonella (apple maggot)
Lineage: Eukaryota; Metazoa; Arthropoda; Insecta; Diptera; Tephritidae
Exons: 2
Source: RefSeq, a predicted model, not a curated record
UGUUUUGAACAUCAUAUUCGUGCCUGCCGGUGGAAAAAUUAGAGCGACAUACGGACAAGUAAGAUGAUCAUCGUUUAAACAAAUGGUUUAUUUUCUUGUACAAGCAGCCGUGGCCCGAGCAGCGCAAAUCGUGGCAGAGAAUUAUAAGUAAUAAGGGAAAUAAUAGUGCGAUAAGAAACUGGAGCUCGGGGAAAACUAUAAUUUACGUCUCUACGCAGCACGUACGCAUGUGUGGGUGCAUUUGCGAUUGUGGCCUAAGCAGCGGCCCGAAAAACCUUACCAAACCUUUUUUUAUUUUACGCUUACAUCAACGUUAUGCCACAAUCACGUGCCGCCGCAGCUGCAGCUACUGG